UGCGUAGGUGGUCGUUUAAGUCCGUUGUGAAAUCCCUGGGCUCAACCUGGGAAUGGCAGUGGAUACUGGACGGCUAGAAUGCGGUAGAGGGUAGUGGAAUUCCCGGUGUAGCAGUGAAAUGUGUAGAGAUCGGGAGGAACACCAGUGGCGAAGGCGGCUACCUGGACCAGCAUUGACACUCAAGCACGAAAGCGUGGGGAGCAAACA
This 207-nucleotide ribosomal RNA is filed under the name uncultured bacterium. Its description in RNAcentral is "partial 16S ribosomal RNA". It matches the Rfam family "Bacterial small subunit ribosomal RNA", at positions 568 to 774 of the family's 1533-position model. The record is from RNAcentral.